Oncorhynchus keta (chum salmon) is the source of this 2353-nucleotide long non-coding RNA. RefSeq lists it as uncharacterized. Lineage: Eukaryota; Metazoa; Chordata; Actinopteri; Salmoniformes; Salmonidae. The record is from RefSeq and is a predicted model, not a curated record. The transcript is spliced from 6 exons.
CAGGCCUGGUUAUGGCAUGAAGCGUUUCAUAUUGAAGUAGAUGGUUCUGAGGUAUGGUUUCUUUAUCCAGGCUGUAUCACAUCCGGCCGUACUUGGGAGUCCCAUAGGGCGGUGCACAAUUGGCCCAGCAUCGUCUGGGUUUGGCCGGGGGGUAGGCCGUCAUUGUAAAUAAGAAUUUGUUCUUAACUGACUUGCCAAGUUAAAAAAAAAGAUAAAAGAUGGAACUUAGUGUAGAGAAUGAGUGGUUCUGAGGUAAAUGAUCUGUAUUAGUGUAGAGAAUGAGUGGUUCUGAGGUAAAUGAUCUGUAUUAGUGUAGAGAAUGAGUGGUUCUGAGGUAAAUGAUCUGUAUUAGUGUAGAGAAUGAGUGGUUCUGAGGUAAAUGAUCUGUAUUAGUGUAGAGAAUGAGUGGUUCUGAGGUAAAUGAUCUGUAUUAGUGUAGAGAAUGAGUGGUUCUGAGGUAAAUGAUCUGUAUUAGAGUAGAGAAGGAGUGGUUCUGAGGUAAAUGAUCUGUAUUAGUGUAGAGAAUGAGUGGUUCUGAGGUAAAUUAUCUGUAUUAGUGUAGAGAAUGAGUGGUUCUGAGGUAAAUGAUCUGUAUUAGUGUAGAGAAUGAGUGGUUCUGAGGUAAAUGAUCUGUAUUAGUGUAGAGAAUGAGUGGUUCUGAGGUAAAUUAUCUGUAUUAGUGUAGAGAAUGAGUGGUUCUUAUCUAUUACUUAGUGUGGAGGGAGAAUAAAAGGAGAGACAGAGUGCAUCCCAAAUUGCACCCUAUUCCCUAUAUAGUGUACUACUACAGAACCAUAUGGGCCUUGGUCAAAAGUAAUGUUUAGGGAAUAGGGUGAAAUUUGAUACACAGCCAUAACCUUUUCCCCCGACUGUAAACACGGCCUCUUCUUCACCCGCAGUUUUUAUAAAUGGCUUGAAAAGCAGACUGAGGGGAGAGUGUGUCAUCAUCCCGCUCUGUUUAUACUGACGGGAGGGAGGAGAAAAAAGGUCAAGUAGCUAACAUUGUGCUGUGCUGUGGUCGCUGCAAUGUUUAGUUAUUUAAUAUGAACACAGAACAUUUCUACAGUCAAGAUGUUCCUCCUCAAGUACUAUCCCCUCCCGUGUAACUGGGGAGGCAGGGUAGUCUAGCGGUUAGAGUGUAGAGGUGGCAGGUAGUCUAGCGGUUAGAGUGUAGGGGCGGCAGGGUAGUCUAGUGGUUAGAGUGUAGGGGCGGCAGGGUAGUCUAGUGGUUAGAGUGUAGGGGCGGCAGGGUAGUCUAGUGGUUAGAGUGUAGGGGAGGCAGGGUAGUCUAGUGGUUAGUGUUGGACUAGUAACCGGAAGGUUGCAAGUUCAAACCCCCGAGCUGACAAGGUACAAAUCUGUCGUACUGCCCCUGAACAGGCAGUUAACCCACUGUUCCUAGGCCGUCAUUGAAAAUAAGAAUUUGUUCUUAACUGACUUGCCUAGUUAAAUAAAGGUAAAAUAAAAAAAUAAACUGGCCAUUAUUUCAAAUGAAUUGUAUUAAUUCAAAUGUAUGUUUUGGCGCGCUGUUCCAAAUCUCUAUUUUACAACAAUAUUUGUUGUUUUUAUCAGCAUUUAUGUCCGCUUGUUGUUCUCAUAUUGUCUUUUUGGUCUCUUCUGCUGUGACUGUGUGACAGAUACCAAGUCCCUCCCCGGACACCAAGCCCCCUCCCCCGGACACCAAGCCCCCUCCCCCGGACACCAAGCCCCCUCCCUCAUUGAGACAUUGUUUUACUGUAAUAGAGAACUUUUCUAACGAUACCCUGUAUCUCUGUCAGUAUCCGUGAGUUCCGCUAGUUCACUACAUUAUCUCUGUCGGUAUCCGUGAGGUCCGUUAGUUCACUACAUGAUCUCUGUCGGUAUCCGUGAGGUCCGCUAGUUCACUACAUUAUCUCUGUCGGUAUCCGUGAGGUCCGCUAGUUCACUACAUUAUCUCUGUCGGUAUCCGUGAGGUCCGUUAGUUCACUACAUGAUCUCUGUCGGUAUCCGUGAGGUCCGUUAGUUCACUACAUUAUCUCUGUCGGUAUCCGGGGGGUCCGUUCGUUCACUACAUUAACUCUGUCAGUAUCCGUGGGGUCCGUUCACUACAUUAUCUCUGUCAGUAUCCGUGGGGUCCGUUAGUUGUCUACAUUAUCUCUGUCGGUAUCCGUGAGGUCCGUUAGUUUACUACAUUAUCUCUGUCGGUAUCCGUGAGGUCAUCACUCUCUCCUGGUCCUGUUCCUGACAUGUUCCUUAAAACACGUGCAUGCACGCACACACACAGACGUGCAUAACAUUGACUCCAUUAAACCUGCUCUGUCUGCAUUUAAUGUUUAAAAGAGAGUUGGAGAGCAGGAUGAGAGAGAGGGGAGAG